This 713-nucleotide ribosomal RNA is filed under the name uncultured Burkholderiales bacterium. RNAcentral's name for it is "bacterial SSU rRNA". It matches the Rfam family "Bacterial small subunit ribosomal RNA", at positions 58 to 768 of the family's 1533-position model. Lineage: Bacteria; Pseudomonadati; Pseudomonadota; Betaproteobacteria; Burkholderiales. The record is from RNAcentral.
CAAGUCGAACGGUAACGCGGGGCAACCUGGCGACGAGUGGCGAACGGGUGAGUAAUAUAUCGGAACGUGCCCAGUCGUGGGGGAUAACUGCUCGAAAGAGCAGCUAAUACCGCAUACGACCUGAGGGUGAAAGCGGGGGAUCUUCGGACCUCGCGCGAUUGGAGCGGCCGAUAUCAGAUUAGGUAGUUGGUGGGGUAAAGGCCUACCAAGCCGACGAUCUGUAGCUGGUCUGAGAGGACGACCAGCCACACUGGGACUGAGACACGGCCCAGACUCCUACGGGAGGCAGCAGUGGGGAAUUUUGGACAAUGGGGGCAACCCUGAUCCAGCCAUGCCGCGUGCGGGAAGAAGGCCUUCGGGUUGUAAACCGCUUUUGUCAGGGAAGAAAUCCUUUGGGCUAAUAACUCGGAGGGAUGACGGUACCUGAAGAAUAAGCACCGGCUAACUACGUGCCAGCAGCCGCGGUAAUACGUAGGGUGCAAGCGUUAAUCGGAAUUACUGGGCGUAAAGCGUGCGCAGGCGGUUAUGCAAGACAGAUGUGAAAUCCCCGGGCUCAACCUGGGAACUGCAUUUGUGACUGCAUGGCUAGAGUACGGUAGAGGGGGAUGGAAUUCCGCGUGUAGCAGUGAAAUGCGUAGAUAUGCGGAGGAACACCGAUGGCGAAGGCAAUCCCCUGGACCUGUACUGACGCUCAUGCACGAAAGCGUGGGGAG